Bubalus bubalis (water buffalo) is the source of this 346-nucleotide long non-coding RNA. RefSeq lists it as uncharacterized. The record is from RefSeq and is a predicted model, not a curated record. The transcript has 3 exons. NCBI's taxonomy places the organism in Eukaryota, Metazoa, Chordata, Mammalia, Artiodactyla, Bovidae.
CUGAAGGUAAGAAGACCAGUUGGGAAACUCUUCCCAGGAUGAGAAGGAGACAAUAGAAUGGAGAGGCCCACCACAGCCAGCAAAUAAGAACUGAGAAACCACAGACAGGUUGUGAGGCUGUAACAAGAAUUCAUUGCUGAAAAAGUGUCACACACUCAUCUGUCACUAAUGGCCAAGCUGCCAGCAACUAAGAGCAGCAAAGGGCAGCUGUACAUCUUCCUCUCACAAGGUCUAUCCACCACUCAAAACAUGGGAUUUAUAAGGAAAAGUCCCUGAACAGCAGGAAAAUCGCUUCAGUCGUGUCCAACUCUUCGCAACCCAAUGGACUGUAGCCUGCCAGGCUCCU